GGAUAAACGCUAGCGGCGUGCCUUAUGCAUGCAAGUCGAACGGUUGAGAGCAAUCUCAACAGUGGCAAACGGCUGAGUAACAUGUAAGCAACCUGUCCCUAAGUGGGGAAUAAUCCGCCGAAAGGUGGACUAAUACCGCAUGUGGUAGUGGAGGUAGGUUUCUACUACUAAAGCUUUCGGGCGCUUGAGGAGGGGCUUGCAUCCUAUCAGGUAGUUGGUGGGGUAACGGCUCACCAAGCCAAUGACGGGUAGCUGGUUUGAGAGGACGUCCAGCCAGACGGGGACUGAGACACGGCCCCGACUCCUACGGGAGGCAGCAGCAAGGAAUUUUGCGCAAUGGGCGAAAGCCUGACGCAGCAACGCCGCGUGAGGGAAGAAGGCCUUCGGGUUGUAAACCUCUUUUCCCAGGGAAGAAUAAUGACGGUACCUGGGGAAUAAGUCACGGCUAACUACGUGCCAGCAGCCGCGGUAAUACGUAGGUGGCGAGCGUUAUCCGGAUUCACUGGGCGUAAAGAGCGCGUAGGUGGUCCUUCAAGUCAGAUGUUAAAUCUCCUGGCUUAACUGGGAGUGGUCAUUUGAUACUGCUGGACUUGAGGGCGGUAGAGGGAGGUGGAAUUCCCGGUGUAGUGGUGAAAUGCGUAGAUAUCGGGAGGAACACCAGUGGCGAAAGCGGCCUCCUAGGCCGUUCCUGACACUGAGGCGCGAAAGCGUGGGGAGCGAACAGGAUCAGAUACCCUGGUAGUCCACGCCCUAAACUGUGGAAACUAGGUACAGGGAGUAUCGACCCUUCCUGCGCCGUAGCUAACGCGUUAAGUUUCCCGCCUGGGGACUACGGUCG
Molecule: ribosomal RNA, 838 nt
Filed under: uncultured bacterium
Lineage: Bacteria
Description: bacterial SSU rRNA
Rfam family: Bacterial small subunit ribosomal RNA
Source: RNAcentral